UAAGUGCUUUUGCCCUAAAUUGAGUGU
This 27-nucleotide non-coding RNA is filed under the name Mus musculus (house mouse). The record is from RNAcentral. Lineage: Eukaryota; Metazoa; Chordata; Mammalia; Rodentia; Muridae.